GACAGAGGAUGCAAGCGUUAUCCGGAAUGAUUGGGCGUAAAGCGUCUGUAGGUGGCUUUUCAAGUCCGCCGUCAAAUCCCAGGGCUCAACCCUGGACAGGCGGUGGAAACUACCAAGCUGGAGUACGGUAGGGGCAGAGGGAAUUUCCGGUGGAGCGGUGAAAUGCGUAGAGAUCCGGAGGAACACCAAAGGCGAAGGCAGUGUCCUGGGGAGUACCUGACGCUCAGGUGCGAAAGCCAGGGGAGCGAACGGG
This 253-nucleotide ribosomal RNA is filed under the name uncultured bacterium. RNAcentral's name for it is "partial 16S ribosomal RNA". It matches the Rfam family "Bacterial small subunit ribosomal RNA", at positions 524 to 776 of the family's 1533-position model. The record is from RNAcentral.